This 406-nucleotide ribosomal RNA is filed under the name uncultured bacterium. RNAcentral's name for it is "bacterial SSU rRNA". It matches the Rfam family "Bacterial small subunit ribosomal RNA", at positions 30 to 436 of the family's 1533-position model. The record is from RNAcentral.
AUUGAACGCUGGCGGCAUGCCUUACACAUGCAAGUCGAACGGCAGCACGGGAGCAAUCCUGGUGGCGAGUGGCGAACGGGUGAGUAAUAUAUCGGAACGUGCUCAGUCGUGGGGGAUAACGUAGCGAAAGCUACGCUAAUACCGCAUACGAUCUAUGGAUGAAAGCGGGGGAUCGCAAGACCUCGCGCGAUUGGAGCGGCCGAUAUCAGAUUAGGUAGUUGGUGAGGUAAAGGCUCACCAAGCCGACGAUCUGUAGCUGGUCUGAGAGGACGACCAGCCACACUGGGACUGAGACACGGCCCAGACUCCUACGGAGGCAGCAGUGGGGAAUUUUGGACGAUGGGCGCAAGCCUGAUCCAGCAAUGCCGCGUGCAGGAUGAAGGCCUUCGGGUUGGUUAAACGUUAG